AGUGAACGCUGGCGGUAGGCCUAACACAUGCAAGUCGAACGGCAGCACAGUAAGAGCUUGCUCUUACGGGUGGCGAGUGGCGGACGGGUGAGGAAUGCAUCGGAAUCUACUUUUUCGUGGGGGAUAACGUAGGGAAACUUACGCUAAUACCGCAUACGACCUACGGGUGAAAGCAGGGGAUCUUCGGACCUUGCGCGAUUGAUUGAGCCGAUGUCGGAUUAGCUAGUUGUCGGGGUAAAGGCCCACCAAGGCGACGAUCCGUAGCUGGUCUGAGAGGAUGAUCAGCCACACUGGAACUGAGACACGGUCCAGACUCCUACGGGAGGCAGCAGUGGGGAAUAUUGGACAAAGGGCGCAAGCCUGAUCCAGCCAUACCGCGUGGGUGAAGAAGGCCUUCGGGUUGUAAAGCCCUUUUGUUGGGAAAGAAAAGCAGCAGGUUAAUACCCCGCUGUUCUGACGGUACCCAAAGAAUAAGCACCGGCUAACUUCGUG
Molecule: ribosomal RNA, 492 nt
Filed under: uncultured bacterium
Lineage: Bacteria
Description: partial 16S ribosomal RNA
Rfam family: Bacterial small subunit ribosomal RNA
Source: RNAcentral